This 253-nucleotide ribosomal RNA is filed under the name uncultured bacterium. Its description in RNAcentral is "partial 16S ribosomal RNA". It matches the Rfam family "Bacterial small subunit ribosomal RNA", at positions 524 to 776 of the family's 1533-position model. The record is from RNAcentral.
UACGGGGGGGGCAAGCGUUGUUCGGAAUUACUGGGCGUAAAGGGCGCGUAGGCGGCUUUCUAAGUCGGAUGUGAAAACUCUGGGCUCAACCCAGAGCCUGCAUCCGAAACUGGAGAGCUAGGGUUCUGGAGGGGAAAGCGGAAUUCCUGGUGUAGCGGUGAAAUGCGUAGAUAUCAGGAGGAACACCGGUGGCGAAGGCGGCUUUCUGGACAGAUACCGACGCUGAGGCACGAAAGCGAGGGUAGCGAACGGG